This 482-nucleotide ribosomal RNA is filed under the name uncultured bacterium. Its description in RNAcentral is "bacterial SSU rRNA". It matches the Rfam family "Bacterial small subunit ribosomal RNA", at positions 29 to 506 of the family's 1533-position model. The record is from RNAcentral.
UUGAACGCUGGCGGCAUGCUUUACACAUGCAAGUCGAACGGCAGCGGGGGCUUCGGCCUGCCGGCGAGUGGCGAACGGGUGAGUAAUGCAUCGGAACGUGCCCAGUCAUGGGGGAUAACUACGCGAAAGCGUAGCUAAUACCGCAUACGCCCUGAGGGGGAAAGCGGGGGAUCGCAAGACCUCGCGUGAUUGGAGCGGCCGAUGUCGGAUUAGCUAGUUGGUGGGGUAAAGGCCUACCAAGGCGACGAUCCGUAGCGGGUCUGAGAGGAUGAUCCGCCACACUGGGACUGAGACACGGCCCAGACUCCUACGGGAGGCAGCAGUGGGGAAUUUUGGACAAUGGGGGCAACCCUGAUCCAGCCAUGCCGCGUGAGUGAAGAAGGCCUUCGGGUUGUAAACUGCCUUUGUACGGAGCGAAAAGGCUCUCUCUAAUACAGGGGGCUCAUGACGGUACCGUAAGAAUAAGCACCGGCUAACUACGU